Molecule: long non-coding RNA, 844 nt
Organism: Oncorhynchus keta (chum salmon)
Lineage: Eukaryota; Metazoa; Chordata; Actinopteri; Salmoniformes; Salmonidae
Exons: 3
Source: RefSeq, a predicted model, not a curated record
GAGACAAAACUGGGUCAUUUACUGUUCUGGUAAAGUUCUCAGAAUGUUCUACAUAUUCUGAAACUGUGCAAAUACAUCUAAACAAUGCAGAGAGAGAGAACAUAGAUAAAUAAUAGAAAAGUUUAAUUAUAAAGUAUUAAUAAAUACACAAUGAGAAACAAUAAGUUGGCUUUAUACACAAAAGAACAGAGUCGAUGUGUAGGGAUAUGAGGUAAUAACAUGAGGUAAUAACAUGCUUUAUACACAGGAUAAAAGAACAGAGUCGAUGUGUAGGGAUAUGAGGUAAUAACAUGAGGUAAUAACAUGAGGUAAUAACAUGCUUUAUACACAGGAUAAAAGAACAGAGUCGAUGUGUAGGGAUAUGAGGUAAUAACAUGAGGUAAUAACAUGCUUUAUACACAGGAUAAAAGAACAGAGUCGAUGUGUAGGGAUAUGAGGUAAUAACAUGAGGUAAUAACAUGCUUUAUACACAGGAUAAAAGAACAGAGUCGAUGUGUAGGGAUAUGAGGUAAUAACAUGAGGUAAUAACAUGCUUUAUACACAGGAUAAAAGAACAGAGUCGAUGUGAAGGGGAUCGAGGUAUUUGAGGUAGAUAUGUAUAUAUUGGCAGGGAUAGAGUGACUAGACAACAGGAUAGAUAAUAAACAGUAGCAGCAGUAUACUGUAGGUAGGGAUAGAGUGACUAGACAACAGGAUAGAUAAUAAACAGUAGCAGCAGUAUACUGUAGGUAGGGAUAGAGUGACUAGACAACAGGAUAGAUAAUAAACAGUAGCAGCAGUAUACUGUAGGUAGGGAUAGAGUGACUAGACAACAGGAUAGAUAAUAAACAGUAGCAGCAGUAUA